GAUGAACGCUGGCGGCGUGCCUAAUACAUGCAAGUCGAGCGAACAGACGAGGAGCUUGCUCCUCUGACGUUAGCGGCGGACGGGUGAGUAACGCGUGGAUAACCUACCUAUAAGACUGGGAUAACUUCGGGAAACCGGAUCUAAUACCGGAUAAUAUAUUGAACCGCAUGGUUCAAUAGUGAAAUACGGUUUUGCUGUCACUUCUAGAUGGAUCCGCGCCGCAUUAGCUAGUUGGUAAGGUAACGGCUUACCAAGGCAACGAUGCGUAGCCGACCGGAGAGGGUGAUCGGCCACACUGGAACUGAGACACGGUCCAGACUCCUACGGGAGGCAGCAGUAGGGAAUCUUCCGCAAUGGGCGAAAGCCUGACGGAGCAACGCCGCGUGAGUGAUGAAGGUCUUCGGAUCGUAAAACUCUGUUAUUAGGGAAGAACAAAUGUGUAAGUAACUAUGCACGUCUUGACGGUACCUAAUCAGAAAGCCACGGCUAACUACGUG
This 497-nucleotide ribosomal RNA is filed under the name uncultured bacterium. Its description in RNAcentral is "partial 16S ribosomal RNA". It matches the Rfam family "Bacterial small subunit ribosomal RNA", at positions 28 to 507 of the family's 1533-position model. The record is from RNAcentral.